RNAcentral lists this ribosomal RNA (301 nucleotides) under uncultured bacterium. RNAcentral describes it as "partial 16S ribosomal RNA". It matches the Rfam family "Bacterial small subunit ribosomal RNA", at positions 509 to 809 of the family's 1533-position model. The record is from RNAcentral.
CAGUCGCCGCGGUAAUACGAAGGGUGCAAGCGUUAAUCGGAAUUACUGGGCGUAAAGCGUGCGUAGGCGGUGAGUUAAGUCUGCUGUGAAAUCCCCGGGCUCAACCUGGGAAUGGCAGUGGAUACUGGCUCGCUAGAGUGUGUCAGAGGAUGGUGGAAUUCCCGGUGUAGCGGUGAAAUGCGUAGAGAUCGGGAGGAACAUCAGUGGCGAAGGCGGCCAUCUGGGACAACACUGACGCUGAGGCACGAAAGCGUGGGGAGCAAACAGGAUUAGAGACCCCGGUAGUCCCUGUCUCUUAUAA